UCCUAGCCCCGAUUGAGCCGAUAUCCUCGCAGUUUCGCUGCUAAGCGAAAUGUAGAGAUAAAGGCGAAAGCGGGACUGGUC
RNAcentral lists this unclassified non-coding RNA (81 nucleotides) under Flavobacterium hercynium. RNAcentral describes it as "Flavo-1 RNA". The record is from RNAcentral. Lineage: Bacteria; Pseudomonadati; Bacteroidota; Flavobacteriia; Flavobacteriales; Flavobacteriaceae.